UACGGGGGGAGCAAGCGUUGUUCGGAUUUACUGGGCGUAAAGGGCUCGUAGGCGGCCAACUAAGUCAGACGUGAAAUCCCUCGGCUUAACCGGGGAACUGCGUCUGAUACUGGAUGGCUUGAGUUUGGGAGAGGGAUGCGGAAUUCCAGGUGUAGCGGUGAAAUGCGUAGAUAUCUGGAGGAACACCGGUGGCGAAGGCGGCAUCCUGGACCAACACUGACGCUGAGGAGCGAAAGCCAGGGGAGCAAACGGG
Molecule: ribosomal RNA, 253 nt
Filed under: uncultured bacterium
Lineage: Bacteria
Description: partial 16S ribosomal RNA
Rfam family: Bacterial small subunit ribosomal RNA
Source: RNAcentral